This 427-nucleotide ribosomal RNA is filed under the name uncultured bacterium. RNAcentral's name for it is "partial 16S ribosomal RNA". It matches the Rfam family "Bacterial small subunit ribosomal RNA", at positions 355 to 774 of the family's 1533-position model. The record is from RNAcentral.
UAGGGAAUCUUCCGCAAUGGGCGAAAGCCUGACGGAGCAACGCCGCGUGAGUGAUGAAGGUCUUAGGAUCGUAAAACUCUGUUAUUAGGGAAGAACAAACGUGUAAGUAACUGUGCACGUCUUGACGGUACCUAAUCAGAAAGCCACGGCUAACUACGUGCCAGCAGCCGCGGUAAUACGUAGGUGGCAAGCGUUAUCCAGAAUUAUUGGGCGUAAAGCGCGCGUAGGCGGUUUUUUAAGUCUGAUGUGAAAGCCCACGGCUCAACCGUGGAGGGUCAUUGGAAACUGGAAAACUUGAGUGCAGAAGAGGAAAGUGGAAUUCCAUGUGUAGCGGUGAAAUGCGCAGAGAUAUGGAGGAACACCAGUGGCGAAGGCGACUUUCUGGUCUGUAACUGACGCUGAUGUGCGAAAGCGUGGGGAUCAAACA